RNAcentral lists this non-coding RNA (22 nucleotides) under Rattus norvegicus (Norway rat). Lineage: Eukaryota; Metazoa; Chordata; Mammalia; Rodentia; Muridae. The record is from RNAcentral.
UCAAUUGGUAAGGUGCUUGCCU